Molecule: ribosomal RNA, 381 nt
Filed under: uncultured bacterium
Lineage: Bacteria
Description: bacterial SSU rRNA
Rfam family: Bacterial small subunit ribosomal RNA
Source: RNAcentral
GCUGGCGGCGUGCUUAACACAUGCAAGUCGAGCGGUAAGGCCCUUUCGGGGGUACACGAGCGGCGAACGGGUGAGUAACACGUGGGUGACCUGCCCUCAGCUCUGGGAUAAGCCUGGGAAACUGGGUCUAAUACCGGAUAUGACUCCAUGACGCAUGUCGGUGGGGUGGAAAGCCUUGUGCGGCUGGGGAUGGGCCCGCGGCCUAUCAGCUUGGUUGGGUGGGGUGAUGGCCUACCAAGGCGACGGACGGGUAGCCGGCCUGAGAGGGCGACCGGCCACACUGGGACUGAGACACGGCCCAGACUCCUACGGGAGGCAGCAGUGGGGAAUCUUGCGCAAUGGGACGAAAGCCUGACGCAGCGACGCCGCGUGAGGAUGACG